UAUAUAUAUAUAUAUAUAUAUAUAUAUAUAUAUAAUUGAGUUCCUAUGCUUUUAAAAGUACCAAGUCAUUGGUGCUUGUAAGUUUUCGGCCCUUGGACUAAGGAUGUGCGGUUAGGAUGAUAUGGGCCCCAUAGAGUUGAGUGGUUAGUUGGUUGAAUAGUAUAAUCUAACGGGUGAAAAUGAUCAAAGGCGUAGAUCUAACGGUAAAAAAUUCACAAGCACCGAGUGCUUGGUGCUUUUACAAGCAUCAUAACCGGCCUCUCUCUCUCUCUCUCUCUCUCUC
Molecule: long non-coding RNA, 283 nt
Filed under: Ananas comosus (pineapple)
Lineage: Eukaryota; Viridiplantae; Streptophyta; Magnoliopsida; Poales; Bromeliaceae
Description: long non-coding RNA (ACOM_LNC039733)
Source: RNAcentral